AUGGACCACCGGGUGAGAUGGACCGGUGGCAUAGUUCACGAACCUGCUAAUAGAAAGCGCCAUGGUUGGUAGGAAUGUGUCGUGGCAACUGUAUUGCGCUUGCUGUGUUAUUUUAUUAUUUUAGUUCCUUUGUAUGAGUAAAUUGAGAAUAUAUUAAAGAAAAUAGAAAACAGGUCUGGGACAUGGCAAGGAUCACCAUGUGUGCCGGAAGAACGCGGGGGACACGGGGCGCGAAUCACCCCCCUGAUCUCCUGCGUGCAGGCCGACAGCAGCGACAAGGUCUUCACCACCUCCUUGUUCUCCAUGACGAGGCUGUAGAAGUUGCGCUGCUGGGCCAGCACAGACUAUCUCGGGUGUACCCUGAGGUCUGGGACGCAACAUAUAGCCGGUGGAACGCGGGGGACACAGGGCGCGAAUCACCCCCCUAAUCUCCUGUGUGCAGGCCGACAGCAGCGACAAGGUCUUCACCACCUCCUUGUUAUCCAUGACGAGGCUGUAGAAGUUGCGCUGCUGGGCCAGCACAGACUAUCUCGGGUGUACCCUGAGGUCUGGGACGCAACAUAUAGCCGGUGGAACGCGGGGGACACGGGGCGCGAAUCACCCCCCUAAUCUCCUGUGUGCAGGCCGACAGCAGCGACAAGGUCUUCACCACCACCUUGUUAUCCACAACGAGGCUGUAGAAGUUGAGCUGCUGGGCCAGCACAAACUAUCUCGGGUGUCGCCUGAGGUCUGGGACGCGGCAUAUAGCCGGUGGAACGCGGGGGACACUGGGCGCGACUCACCCCCCUGAUCUCCUGCGUGCAGGCCGACAGCAGCGACAAGGUCUUCACCACCUCCUUGUUAUCCACAACGAGGCUGUAGAAGUUGCGCUGCUGGGCCAGCACAAACUAUCUCGGGUGUCGCCUGAGGUCUGGGACGCGGCAUAUAGCCGGUGGAACGCGGGGGACACUGGGCGCGACUCACCCCCCUGAUCUCCUGCGUGCAGGCCGACAGCAGCGACAAGGUCUUCACCACCUCCUUGUUCUCCAUGACGAGGCUGUAGAAGUUGCGCUGCUGCGCCGGGAAGCUGGGCCGGUGCUCGGACUGCAGGCGGUAGAGGCGCCGCCGGCGCGAGCGGGCGUCCUCGGGCCCCUUGGUCGCGCCCUGCUCCAGCCGGGAAACCACGUCAACCAGCGCGUGCGACUGGCGGCCGGCGAGGCGCUUCCAGCCCGGCGGCCUCUGCUCGCCGCGCGCGGGGUUCGGCGGUGGACGGCGGUGGGGUGUUCAGGUCGUUGAAGGAUGUGGUGACAACACACAUGUGGAGGCGGUGGCGAACACGCACAAAGGAGGGUACAAGGUCACACCGAGCACCAUUUCGUCGGUGGGUGUUGGAGAGUCACAGUAAAGACAGCACACAGACAUGCAGAGACACAGAAAGAGGGAUCAGGGUAGAGAGAAAGAAAGAGAAAAAGAGAGAAAAAAAUACGUCAGAAUAGCCGCGUGGAAGAACGUGUGUACGUAUUUACAUGAAAGCACAGCAAAAUUGCACUGAGAAAAAAUGUUGGUUGAGUCCACCUAAUAUAUCAGUGUAUAUUAUUAAAUUAAUAUAGUUUCUCUAACUGAUAUUUUGUCGGCUAAACUAAAGUAAUGUGCAAAAAAUUUAAUUUUUUGACCAAGCAAAAGUAUUUUUUUAAAAAUAAUAUAUGAGUGUGUAUCAAUAAGCAAUGCUUAUGAUUUUUUAAAAAAUAAAAAGCAAUUAAUGACAAAAUAAAAUAGAAAUGAAAGUAUUACUCAUUAAUUACUUGUCAUCGUAAAUUCCAUGCAUGUUGAGGCAUUGGUUCCCAUGAUGGAUUAGUAUGAAAAGUCUGGUCUCGUAGAAAUCCAUUGGCCGCAUGAAUUGCUCCAUUCGCAGGGCCUGUUUGAGUUCGUCCUCAGAGUCAAACUUCUUACUGCUGCGGAUUUUCUUCAUGGGUCCAAACAGAGAGAAAGCGGAGGAUGCCAUUUUUGGCUGUAGGGUAGAGGGUCCAAAAUUUAUCAAUUGUAUCACUGCGAUUUUCUACAAACUGGGCGAUACACAUUGGUAUGGUCAAUAUAGUAUUUUGCGUAAACUUUCACCAUCUCCGAAUGGAUAUCUAACUUUAUUUUCUGUUGCACAAAGAAAUAUUACCACAGCUCAUUGCUCCUCCACAGUUGAAGAUGUAAUCAACCAACGCCAUUUUCCGGUGACUACGAUUGCUAUCGGUAGGUAUAUAGAAUCACAGUACCUUGCAUUCCACAGUCAGUAGCGCCUUCGUGUUCUUUUUUUUAGUAAUUAAUUCCAUUUUCACUCAUAAUUUUCCUAAUCAAAAAUUGACAUGUGUGUUACUUAUUGAUACACUCUCGUAUUUAUCUUAAUUAAUUUUCUAUACAUAUUUUAUUGGUCAUGUACAAACAUUUUAUGUGAAUAGAACAAACACUGAGUUUGGUGUAUGUACAUAUAUUCAAUACACUCUAAGUGCAGUUACUGCCAAAAUUGCUAAUGUAAUACACAAGUUUUACAUAUUUACAAUAUUUGAUUCUUAUUAAAGUGGUAUGCACAGUUAUACUAUAAAUAUUACUCUAAGCAAAAUUCAAAAACCAAUUACAGUAAGUCCUCUAUUUACGUCGUACCGAUUUACGUCGUUUCGGAUUAACGUCGCUAAUGUUUGAGUACUCAUGUUUCAAUUUAAAUUGUCGCCGAUUCACAAUAACGUCGUUUACAAUGACCGCAAAUAUUUAUUUUAACCAAAACACCGUAUAUAAUUCAUUUAUAAUUCUUUGUUUCCUUCGGUAGUUAAUUUAUGCUAUGUAGUGUAAGCUACACAUUCACCGCCUUAUCUUAUCAUACAUCAUGAGGGACGCUUCCUGCUCUCCGCUGCUCUCCGCGUGGUGAUGCAAUACUACCAGCCCGACCACUCGGCCACCCACGUAUCUCGCACGUAGAAGUGUUAUCUACUUCCUGCAACGACACAGCAUUUUCUCCUACCCCUUUUCGUCCAACUCCUUGGCACUUCAGUCGCUAUGAUAUCAUUGAGUUGGCCGGAGUUUUAAACGUGCCGUUGUUAACUUUAUCGUGAUUAAAUGCGUUUUUAGUAGGUCUACAGUAUCAGCUCACUGCAAUUUAUGAUUUUUUCUUCAUAAUAUGUCUUCCAAACGACUAAAUUUAUCUUCAAAUGUAAUUUCAAAAAUAAGAACAGAACACAUGUUUCAUUAGCCACGAAAAUGGAAGUUUUGAGACGUUUCGAUUCGGGCGAGAGGGCUGUUGAGAUUAGUAAAGUGUUAGGUCUGCCACCUACCACAGUUCGUACAAUUCGAUCAAAUGCGGACAAAAUUAAGAGUAGUUUACUGAACAUGUCAUCUGUCAGUGCUACAAAGACGAGUUAUACACGUAAUAGCACUAUGGAGAAAAUGGAGAAGAUGCUUGCUGUAUGGAUUGAAACACAGAACCAGCACAAUUGCUCCGUAAAUUUAAGGCUUAUUCAAAGCAAAGCUCUAUCAUUGUACAAUGAGGAAAUGAAAAAUGUUGAAGGUACUUCAACCGUUAAAGAGGAAGUGUUUAAUGCCAGCCGCGGGUGGUUUCAGCGAUUUAAAGCCAGGUACAGUUUCCAUAAUAUAAAACUGACAGGCGAGGCAGCAAGUUCCGACACUGACGCCGCAAAGGAAUUCAUCCCGAAACUUGAGAAGAUCAUUGAAGAAGGUGGCUACAUGCCGAAACAAGUUUUCAAUGCAGAUGAAACGGGACUUUUCUGGAAAAGAAUGCCGGCGAGAACCGACAUCGCUAAACAAGAGAGGACUGCGCCUGGUUUCAAGGCUGCAAAGGAUCGUGUGACAGUAUUGUUGGCGGCAAAUGCAGCUGGCGACUGUAAAAUGAAACCGCUGCUGAUAACCAAGUCAGCCAACCCACGAGCCUUGAAAGGUUACUCAAAGGAGCACCUGCCAGUGAUUUUAAGAGCAAAUAAUAAGGCCUGGAUAACUGGCCCCCUGUUUAGGGAAUGGCUUAACUUGUAUGCCAUCCUUGCAUGGAAAGGAGAACCUUGACUUUAAAAUUCUCCUUCUGAUCGACAACUCACCUAGUCACCCACCCGAGGUAAUAGAAAUGCAUGAAAAUUUGAAAGUGGUUUUUCUUCCUCCAAACACCACAGCUAUCUUGCAACCACUAGACCAAGGCGUCAUCGCAUCGUUCAAGGCCUAUUAUAUGCGGUGUACAUUUCAACAGCUGCUUGAAGGUACAGAUGGUGAGGAUAAGCCUACAAUCAAGGAGUACUGGCGUGGCUACAACAUUUUGCAUGCUAUCAAGAAUAUUGGAGAAGCAUGGACUGAGGUCACUGAAAAGUGCUUGAACUCGACGUGGGGUCAACUGUGGCCUGAUUGCCUACAUAAUUUUAAGGGAUUUGAAGAUGCCUCUCCUGCUGUAGACGUACGCUCGGACAUCGUUGACAUCGCUAAAAGAACUAGAUUCAACGAUCUCGAAACUGACGACAUUGACGAAGUCUUGGAUGCUAAUGUAGAAGAGCUUACAAACGAAGAGCUACACCAGCUGGUAAUUAAUCCUGCAGCAGACAACACUGAUAGUGAAGAUGAUGACCCGGAAGUGAAAACAGACAUCACAGUGAAAGAACUAACCUCUGCCUUAGGCCAUGUCAAAAUGGCAUUGCAAAUUUUUUCUGAAAAAGACAUAAAUGAGGAACGGAGCUCUAAAGUGCGGCGAAACGUAAUGGAGAGUGUUAUGUGCUACGAGGAGCUCCUCAAGGAGAAAAAGAAGCAGACAACCAAGCAGACAACACUUCAUGCUUUCUUCGGCGGAACAUCAAAGGCGGCGACAGCUUCCAUGUGUGUAGGAAAGGAAUCGGAAAAUGUUCAAAGUGACUCGGAAUAAAUUGACAAACUUGUCACGUCAUCCUUUUUGGAAUUCUAUUCACAAUGUGUAGUGUAUUCAGAGCUUUUUCAUUUAAAAUGUUACAUAAAAUGAUAUAAUUUAUAUUGUUUGCGACGUAAAUUUAAAGUAGUGUUUCUCAUGAAAAAUAUUUCACAUUGAUUUUUAUUAGAAUUAUUUCCGUACGUAAAUUGUAAGAAUUGAGCCGCGCUAUUUUAUAACCUCUUUUAGGUGUUUAUUACUUCAUGUGAUUAUUUUAAAUCAAGGGCUCUCAAUUUUUGUCAUACUUAUAGUACUUUUAUUGUAUGUAUGCAUUUCUUUUGACUUUGUUCUUACCAGCCUCCAAAAGAAAACAGUUGUUUUCUCCCGCGAAUGACUCAAAGUAAAAUCUGUGUAGCACUAAACCACUUUGUAUCCUUACACUUUGAAUGCAUUAUGCGUUUAUAUUACGUACAGUAGGGCCUAUGUACUAUAUAUCUGUUUUUAUAUUUCAAUCAAUAAAGGUAAUAAAGCAGCUGGUUAUAUAACCAUUCUAUAAAGCUGAGAAGUACUAGUUGGACUUGUGUCCCACGCUGUCGGUUGUCAUUUGCUGAUAAAAUUGCCCGUUAUCACGUCUGUAUGCCAGCGCUUCCGGCCGACCUUGGGCCGUGGCCAGCCGGUGGCAUGAAACAAAGCUCAUUUUGCGUCGUUUCUAUUUACGUCGCGGUUUUCAGGAACGUAACCCCGACGUAAACCGAGGACUUACUGUAAUGUCAAACUAAGUCCCUGCCAUGCUUUUGAAAAGCCUUUUCCUUACACAUCAGGGACAUACUUGGGGUUUUUAGUAGCUUGCUCUUUAGGCUAUGAGAUUCUAAGUUUGGAAUGACUAAUGUCUUACUUUAUGUAAUUAAGUAACACAUUAAACACUAGAGACAUAGAUACUGCUGUUUUCCAUUAUUUUAAUGCAUUACACAGAAUGAGGUGGCUAGAAACCAAAAGGCGCCAUAUUGGUUUCAACUGUGUUCUUUAUUCUUUAAUUACUUUUUAAAAUUAUUUUAGUACUUAAAAUUUUGCCAUGCUAUGGAAGAUAUUACACACACAGAGAGAUUUUAAAGAAUCAGAACACAAAGUCUACUGAUAGUAGGUAUUAUUAUUGUUGUCAUUCCAAAAAAGUACAUAAUCCAGUCAAUGACUUCACAUUAAAACCUAUUUGUAAAUGCCAACGCAAGUUAAAUUCAAAUUUUCGUUAAUUAUAAGCUAAACUUUAAAGAAACCAAAUUGUAAAAAUAAAAAAAAAUUCAGAAACAAAUAUGGCGUAUUUUGGUUCCUAUCGAUUCCUUAAAUUCAUCAUUUUGUUAUUUUUUAAAUAUUAAAAUAUAGACAUUAUUGUUUGGUUUACACUUUUCAGUCUGACGAAAAAUAGAAUAACGGGCGUCAGCUUGAAAUAUUUUUGUUAUUACAUUUUACUCAUAUACUAUAGGACUUCGCAUUGAGUUUUUAAAAUUGUGUUGUUUUUUUUAGAUGGUUUUAUUUAGAAGUAUUUAAAAUGUAACUUACCUGGCCAACUAAAGAACAAGAUCGAUGCCCACCUUUAUGUUUAUUUUUCAUAUACCAUUAUCUUUAUAACUAUUAUUUCUACAACUAAUUGUUACUUUUAUUACUACUCUUACUUAUAUAAAUGUAUACAAUACCAUUAUAUUCAUUCAUCUUCUGCCGACUUAAUUCAUGCAGCAUGCCAAUGCUGUAACUACAUGCAUUUAAAGCAACUUGCAUUUAAAGAUAAGGAAAGGUGAAUCAUCGGGGAUAUAACACAAACAAGCAGAUACAUCUUUAAGAAUAAAUGUGGUGUAAUCGGAUUUUAUCACACUUUGUAAAUGUUUGUUUUCCUCGUACUUUUGUGAAUACACUCUAGGCAAAUGAAGGGUGCCUUAGUUCCGUUAUAUGGUGUGCAAUGUGUGGCCAAUGGAGUCACAUUUCAUAACUCAAUGGAAUACAUUAAGCUGAAAGUGAUUAUCAGCAAGAAAUAUUUAUCUUAUUUGGUCAUUUACAUUCAGUAUUAAAAUAUUUAUUUUUAAGAAUGACUAUGUUGUAUAGAUAUUAUCAACAGUAAAUCUAUCAACAACUCUGACAAUCUAUUAUGUGCUUUACGACAUUAAAAAAAGAACACAUUUCAUGAGAUCGCUGAUCGUCUGAAACCAAGAUGGCGUCUUGUGGAGCUGAAAGUGUCCGUGCGCGCGCUCUCUACACAGCAGGUCGGCCAUCUGGCGGCGGCACUCACCGGGUGGCCCUUGCCGCCGGUCCACUGGCCCACGCCCUUGGCCACGCCCGCCAUGUUGCGGCCGGCCGCCACCAGGGCCUCCUGCACCUCGUCCAGGCUGGGGCGUACCGUGACGCUCGGCACGGCCAGCGCCGCGCCCAGCAGGAACACCGGCCGCGCGUCCUUCAAGCCUGCGCCCAGCGGUAGCCCCAGACAUCACGGGGCCCUGGGGCGUUUACUUUUACUUUCUGUUGUGGGCCCCUAGGCUCUCUCCCGAAAGGUUUGAAAUUUAACUUAUUUCAAAACAUAUUUUUAAGCAGAUCUGGGGUUCAUUUUCAACUACCUUAGAUUGAUUUUUAUAUAUUCUUUUCUCAAAAUAAUUUUUUUUUGUUAGUUUUAUAUGUUUUGGGUUAUCAUUUGCGUAAUUAUAGAGACAACCAAAUAUUCGUAAUGUUAUGAAUUGAAGAACACUUUAAAUUAUGUAUGUUAAAAACGAUUUAAUUUUUUCUACUCAUUACUAUCCAGAUUUUUAAAAGAACAACAGAAAAUAAAAAUUGAAAAUAAAAAUAGGCUAGCGUGUUUCCCUGGGUGAUUGCCCGUCUUGCCCAGUCGUGAAGCUGCACCUGCCUGUGCCAACGUUCCACCUUGCCUUCGUCUUUUUUCACUGACUCACUCACGCAUUGCCAGUACACCACAACUUAGAAUAAACUGUGCACCAGUGAUAUUGGUUGCUUUUCUUAUUCUGGGAAUGCCUCCAUUAUCUACUCACUUUAUAACAAUAGAUCAAUUGAAAUAAAAUGAUGUAGGUAAUAAAUUAAUGAGACCAUAUUAAUUUUACAUAAAUGUAGCAAUCAUGGGUUUAACAUUUUUGCAUAAAGAACUGUAAACUGUAGCUAAUGUAAACAAUGACACAUCCAUUGGCAGAUACAGCAAUUUUUUCGUUAGAGAAGGGGCGGAGGAAUAUGAUUUUCUGAUAAGAACAAACAGAAAAAUAAAUAGAAACUGAACAUGUGUAUUAAAAUAAACUUAUUUUACUAUUGACUCUUAACACAUUGACCCGUGGGCGUACAGUAGUAGCCCUAAGCGACUUAGCUUCUCACCCCACAGUCAAAUAUUGUUUGUCUUGACGCCGCCGUCAGUGCUCCCUCUGAGAGCACAGGCCGUUAUGUGUCCUCAACACCUGAUAAGUGCCGCGCCCCGAACGCGCCCGCGCGCGCAACGUAGUGCAGUGCCCCGAACGGCGUGACGUCAGUCACGGCCUCCUACGUGUGCAAAGCGCCCGGCCGGGUGUGGCACUGCGCAAGGGUACUGUUUUUCAUGCAUUCGAGAAUAUAAACAGAAACUAAUAAAUCUAAAACCAUCAAUAAUCAAUGUUAAUGUAAUAAUCAGUUUAUAAAGGGUUAUAAUUCACAACGCUGGCCGAAGUCAUCUUCCCGCGCUCCGCAGUUUUCCCGCGGAAUUUCCCCCCUCCCUGGCCCCGGCGGCCAGGGAGGUUAGGCAGUCGCCAUCCAGCACUCGCCCGGGCUGGCAGCCCACGCACGGGGAGCCUUCAACUUUCGCGCCAACACUCUGUAACUGCAAUAGGUAAUUAUAGUCCAAUCGUUUUUAUAUCAGCUCCCCGGUCGGCCCAAACCGGCCGUUAGCGAUCUCGCGCGGUCUAUUAAUAAAGUGUGUAGUCCAUGCACGGACUUUCUAUUUCCUACGUAAUUAAUUAAGUGACUCCUAGUGGCACCUGCGCCUCACGCUAUUACGUCCCACCUCGGGACAUAGUUCUUUGCCCACGCAGGGCGGCCCUGCGCCAAACGCGACCACGAACAUUCGGACGAGUCAUCAACUGGGACUUGCCACGGCCACGUGUACGAUAUCGUUCAAGAUUCCCACGUGUCCGUACCCAGCUUAACGUGGCCCUCGCCACCACGCGGACUAGCCGCCUGUGCAUAUCCUCCAGUGCGGGACGUACCACAGUGAUUUAGUGUAAUGUGUUUCCAUAGUAAAUUCGCGGGACCUACCGCCCUUAUAGUGUAAUGUGUUUUCAUAAGUAAAUUCGCGGGACCUACCGCCCUUAUAGUGUAUUGUGUUUUCUUAAGUAAUUGGCGGGACCUAUCACUCACGCACCUCGCGUUACGUCCGCGGACUUCCGCAUAAACCAGGACAGGUUCAUCGUGCGCGGAGCUUAGGUCGACGAUGAAGCGGCCAGUUACGUGAUCGUGCGACAUGUAGAGUGUGCUACGCAAUAAAACGACUACAAGUA
Long non-coding RNA from Bacillus rossius redtenbacheri, 9357 nucleotides. RefSeq lists it as uncharacterized. The record is from RefSeq and is a predicted model, not a curated record. The transcript is spliced from 2 exons. Lineage: Eukaryota; Metazoa; Arthropoda; Insecta; Phasmatodea; Bacillidae.